CCUAUGGGCACAAAAAGCAGGAACGAGUAGCGGUGGCUGAAGAACGAGCAGGAGCUUGAAUUUCAGUUUUCUUAUGAGGAAUUUUCCAGAAAAGAUAUCUUCACUGUGAAAUAACUAAAUAAAUGCCCACUCAGUACAACAAAAAUACCUGCUACAUGCUUCCUUCUGUAUGAAUACAUGAGACCUACCUUCAUUCAUGUUUCCUCUAUGAAGCUUUCCCUGCACUCCAAACACAGAGCUGAGACUUCCACCUAAUGUAGAAAGCUAGCACGAGCCGGCGCUGACAGAUGGAAGACUUGAGAUGUUACAAGAUUAUAUAUGGAAACACAAAAGGAGUGGAGUUGCUGGGUCAUAUGGCAAUUCAUUUGAGGAACUGAGAAGCUUAUUCCAUGGAGGCUGAACUGUUUUAUAUUCCCACCAGCAACGUGUAAGGUUCCAGUUUAUCUACAUCAUCACCAACACUUGCUAUUUUCCAUUUCAUUAAUGAUAGCCAUCCUAGUGGAUUUGAAGUGGUACCUUAUUAUCGUGGUUUUGAUUGCAUUCUCUAUUGACUAAUGAUAUCGAGCAUCUUUUCAUGUAUUUUUUGGUCAUUUGGUCAUUUUUCUUUUUUAAUUUUAAAAUUUUGAGACAGGCUCUCACUAUGUUGCCCAGGUGGUCUCAAACUCCUGGGUUCCAGCGAUGCUCAUGCCUCAGUCUCCCAAAGGGGUGGGAUUACAGGUGUGAGCCACUUUGCCCAGCCCAUUUGUAUAUCUCCUUUGGAGAAUAUCUAGGUUCUUUUGAAGGUAGCUGCAUAUAAACUAGCCAAAUUAACAGACUGUGGUUUUUAGAUGGCUUUCCAUAUCUACAAGAACUAUUUAGUUCUCAAAACUGGGAAGAAAUGUUUCAGAGGCAUCAUUAAUUCAUAAUCUAAAAAUUUAUCUUGGGUUUCCUUUUUUCCCCCAGAUUCUGUAUCCUCCAUAGUCCUAUUCAUGACAUGGGUCGUUCAUCUCUGUAUUCUAAACCCUCAAUGAACUGUAGACAGUAAUAAAUAUUUAUUGGAUGAA
Molecule: long non-coding RNA, 1043 nt
Filed under: Homo sapiens (human)
Lineage: Eukaryota; Metazoa; Chordata; Mammalia; Primates; Hominidae
Description: non-protein coding lnc-PJVK-2:17
Source: RNAcentral